GCUCCACCGGAAAAAGAGGAGUGGCGAACGGGUGAGUAACACGUGGGUAACCUGCCCAUCAGAAGGGGAUAACACUUGGAAACAGGUGCUAAUACCGUAUAACAAUCNAAACCGCAUGGUUUUGAUUUGAAAGGCGCUUUCGGGUGUCGCUGAUGGAUGGACCCGCGGUGCAUUAGCUAGUUGGUGAGGUAACGGCUCACCAAGGCCACGAUGCAUAGCCGACCUGAGAGGGUGAUCGGCCACAUUGGGACUGAGACACGGCCCAAACUCCUACGGGAGGCAGCAGUAGGGAAUCUUCGGCAAUGGACGAAAGUCUGACCGAGCAACGCCGCGUGAGUGAAGAAGGUUUUCGGAUCGUAAAACUCUGUUGUUAGAGAAGAACAAGGAUGAGAGUAACUGUUCAUCCCUUGACGGUAUCUAACCAGAAAGCCACGGCUAACUACGUGCCAGCAGCCGCGGUAAUACGUAGGUGGCAAGCGUUGUCCGGAUUUAUUGGGCGUAAAGCGAGCGCAGGCGGUUUCUUAAGUCUGAUGUGAAAGCCCCCGGCUCAACCGGGGAGGGUCAUUGGAAACUGGGAGACUUGAGUGCAGAAGAGGAGAGUGGAAUUCCAUGUGUAGCGGUGAAAUGCGUAGAUAUAUGGAGGAACACCAGUGGCGAAGGCGGCUCUCUGGUCUGUAACUGACGCUGAGGCUCGAAAGCGUGGGGAGCAAACAGGAUUAGAUACCCUGGUAGUCCACGCCGUAAACGAUGAGUGCUAAGUGUUGGAGGGUUUCGCCCUUCAGUGCUGCAGCUAACGCAUUAGCACUCCGCCUGGGGAGUACGACCGCAAGGUUGAAACUCAAAGGAAUUGACGGGGGCCGCACAAGCGGUGGAGCAUGUGGUUUAAUUCGAAGCAACGCGAAGAACCUUACCAGGUCUUGACAUCC
Molecule: ribosomal RNA, 926 nt
Filed under: Enterococcus sp.
Lineage: Bacteria; Bacillati; Bacillota; Bacilli; Lactobacillales; Enterococcaceae
Description: bacterial SSU rRNA
Rfam family: Bacterial small subunit ribosomal RNA
Source: RNAcentral